GGGUGUUCCGCUCCAAUCGUUGAGCGGGCAGGACGAGCGUAGGUCGGGCCGCCAGCG
Molecule: non-coding RNA, 57 nt
Filed under: Allobosea sp. PAMC 26642
Lineage: Bacteria; Pseudomonadati; Pseudomonadota; Alphaproteobacteria; Hyphomicrobiales; Alloboseaceae
Also listed under: 1 other name
Description: Bosea sp. PAMC 26642 nhaA-I RNA
Rfam family: nhaA-I RNA
About the family: Acidobacteria, Alphaproteobacteria, Betaproteobacteria and Gammaproteobacteria, Verrucomicrobia, cand. division NC10. Downstream gene
Source: Rfam by way of RNAcentral